UAUAAAUUUUCUUUGUCAACGAUUUUCAUUUAGCAUUUUAUCAAGUUAAUAUUUACACAUUUCCUAUUUGGUACUUUUCUUAGAGAUUUUAGCAGGAUAAAUUUUAGAUGCCAAGUAACAAAACCAUAUUUAAAGUUAAGUGCAAUAUUAAAAAUUGCAAAACUUCUAAAAUAAGAAGUGACAAGAUACAUGAACAUUAUAAACAUAAACAUCCUCAUGUCAAGCCAGCUGAUAUGAAAUUUACAAAGGUAGCCAUCAA
Molecule: long non-coding RNA, 259 nt
Organism: Gordionus sp. m RMFG-2023
Lineage: Eukaryota; Metazoa; Nematomorpha; Gordioida; Chordodea; Parachordodidae
Exons: 3
Source: RefSeq, a predicted model, not a curated record